Molecule: ribosomal RNA, 496 nt
Filed under: uncultured bacterium
Lineage: Bacteria
Description: bacterial SSU rRNA
Rfam family: Bacterial small subunit ribosomal RNA
Source: RNAcentral
UCAGGAUGAACGCUAGCUACAGGCUAACACAUGCAAGUCGAGGGGUAGCAGGGUAGCAAUACCGCUGACGACCGGCGCACGGGUGAGUAACACGUAUCCAACCUUCCCAUAACUCAGGGAUAGCCUUUCGAAAGAAAGAUUAGUACCUGAUAGUACUUUUUCAAGGCAUCUUGAGAAAGUUAAAGAUUUAUUGGUUAUGGAUGGGGAUGCGUUCCAUUAGGUAGUUGGUGAGGUAACGGCUCACCAAGUCUUCGAUGGAUAGGGGUUCUGAGAGGAAGGUCCCCCACAUUGGUACUGAGACACGGACCAAACUCCUACGGGAGGCAGCAGUGAGGAAUAUUGGUCAAUGGGCGAGAGCCUGAACCAGCCAAGUAGCGUGAAGGAUGAAGGUCCUAUGGAUUAUAAACUUCUUUUAUAGUAGAAUAAAGUGAUCCACGUGUGGAUUUUUGUAUGUAUACUAUGAAUAAGGAUCGGCUAACUCCGUGCCAGCCGCAGC